RNAcentral lists this ribosomal RNA (492 nucleotides) under uncultured bacterium. Its description in RNAcentral is "partial 16S ribosomal RNA". It matches the Rfam family "Bacterial small subunit ribosomal RNA", at positions 29 to 507 of the family's 1533-position model. The record is from RNAcentral.
AGUGAACGCUGGCGGUAGGCCUAACACAUGCAAGUCGAACGGCAGCACAGUAAGAGCUUGCUCUUACGGGUGGCGAGUGGCGGACGGGUGAGGAAUACAUCGGAAUCUACUUUUUCGUGGGGGAUAACGUAGGGAAACUUACGCUAAUACCGCAUACGACCUACGGGUGAAAGCAGGGGAUCUUCGGACCUUGCGCGAUUGAAUGAGCCGAUGUCGGAUUAGCUAGUUGGCGGGGUAACGGCCCACCAAGGCGACGAUCCGUAGCUGGUCUGAGAGGAUGAUCAGCCACACUGGAACUGAGACACGGUCCAGACUCCUACGGGAGGCAGCAGUGGGGAAUAUUGGACAAUGGGCGCAAGCCUGAUCCAGCCAUGCCGCGUGGGUGAAGAAGGCCUUCGGGUUGUAAAGCCCUUUUGUUGGGAAAGAAAAGCAGCAGGUUAAUACCCCGCUGUUCUGACGGUACCCAAAGAAUAAGCACCGGCUAACUUCGUG